RNA transcript from Salvia splendens (bonfire salvia), 859 nucleotides. RefSeq lists it as uncharacterized. The record is from RefSeq and is a predicted model, not a curated record. NCBI's taxonomy places the organism in Eukaryota, Viridiplantae, Streptophyta, Magnoliopsida, Lamiales, Lamiaceae. The transcript has 6 exons.
UUCACCAUUCUCUUCUGCAGCAGAAGCUCUUGAAUUGAUUCAGAGGGAGAAAAGUAUGGCUCUAAAUCCUCAACUUUUCUACAAUGGAAUGCCGGUGCCAUUCAUCAACGAGAUGUUCGUCCUGGGUAGAGACGGCGUCGAAUUUGAGAUCGACAAGAUCCCCGGCACUCAAGGUGGGACAGUGAAAUCAAAGGGAACUAUCUACUUGUCAAACAUCCGCAUAGUGUUUGUUGCAAAGAAACCUGUUGGCCAUCUUUUUGCAUUUGAUAUGCCCCUGCUUCAUGUUCAUGGUGAGAAAUUCCACCAGCCAAUUUUCCACUGCAACAACAUUUCUGGUCAAGUGGAACCUGUUGUGCCCGAUACUGAGCAUAUGGCUCUUUACUCGACUCAUUCUUUCAAGAUUCCGUUCAAGGACGGCGGCUGUGGAACAUUCGUCCCACUCUUCUUCAACUUGAUCGGUUCUGUCAGACAAUAUAACCAGCAUCUUGCAGCACAGCCUCGAGUGGAUCCUCUCCUAGCAGCCCAAACUCCUGUAGACGAGAUGAUGAGACACGCAUACGUUGAUCCUAGUGACCCCACUAAAAUUUUCCUGCAGCAGCCAAAUGCAGAGUCUCAGUUGAGGCGCCGCACUUACCAGUCAGAUAGUAGUGAAAAGCCAAUGUAAACCAUUGCUGUUGUUUCCCUCAACUGUACUUGUUGAGGUCAUGUUUGGAAGUUUAUUUCGAAGUUUUUGUAUUGAACAGCAUUUAUAGAAUUGAUGAAGUGACACGGUGCAAGCCUCGUCUCAGCCAGAGCUGGUACGCAGUCAUAUGGAAUGUGUCGUAACUUUGAGGCACAGCAGACCACCUGAAGUGCUUCC